UAUAAAAGUACACCGCGACUAUCGAAACACUCACACAAUCUACGGACAUCAAACCACAACUGUAUUCAACACUGAAAAACAAGAUGGCAUCUAGAACGCUUAUUGCUUUCCUAUUGGUUGGAUGUAUGCUGGUAUCUGUUGUCCUUUCACAAAAAGACGAAUGGACAGGAAUGCGGUGGGGCAAAAAAUCGUUACAAACCAAAGAAACUCAUGAUKCUGUCGCUGCCRAUGAAUUCCAAAGAUUCCGUGAAUACUUCAAACGAAAAUACGACCGAGACUUCACGCUUUAAUAAAAGAUAUCAUUUGAAAAUGUAGCUAACUCCAUGAAAAUAUCAAAUUUUGAAUUGUGACAUGAUAUUCAAGCAAAUAAAAAAUGGAACUUAAAA
Molecule: long non-coding RNA, 386 nt
Organism: Exaiptasia diaphana
Lineage: Eukaryota; Metazoa; Cnidaria; Anthozoa; Actiniaria; Aiptasiidae
Exons: 3
Source: RefSeq, a predicted model, not a curated record